GCGACAAGCGGUGAAGCUAGGCAUUCCAUUUCAGACGUCCAAAGAGAAGGGAAUCAAUCUCGCUUUGUCAGCCUCAAUAGACCAUCUUCACGACUACAAAUAGAAAUAAAUUUUUACCUUCAAAACUGUGGACUUCUCCAGCUAGGAGACAAAAUGGAUUCAGCUCUUAGCGAAACUGAAAGAAAAUUGGAAGAAAAUGGCUCAUAUUGGGAUAAUGUCGGCAACUACAUGGGUAUCCUCAGUGUCACCUUCUUCAUGGUUACCAUCCUCCAAAUUUUAGCGAUGGUAUGGGAUUCACUGGGGAAGAAUGUUGGGAAAUCAAACAAAUCAGUUUCUGCAAGAGAAGAAAACGAGCAAAAGCAAAAUGCCGAAACCACGCGGAUCUAUGAAGCCCUGGAAAAAUUAGCCAAAGUGUCCAUUUCCAACAAUUAUUAAUCAAUUUCACGCUUAAUAUAAUCAUCGCCCACUGUUAAUACAUCUAUUUAAAUACAUGGUGUUGUUCUAA
Molecule: long non-coding RNA, 505 nt
Organism: Daphnia pulex (common water flea)
Lineage: Eukaryota; Metazoa; Arthropoda; Branchiopoda; Diplostraca; Daphniidae
Exons: 2
Source: RefSeq, a predicted model, not a curated record